This is a long non-coding RNA of Hevea brasiliensis (rubber tree), 468 nucleotides long. RefSeq lists it as uncharacterized. The record is from RefSeq and is a predicted model, not a curated record. The transcript has 2 exons. NCBI's taxonomy places the organism in Eukaryota, Viridiplantae, Streptophyta, Magnoliopsida, Malpighiales, Euphorbiaceae.
ACAUCGGAAAAGAAAAAGACCCUGUGCUGCUUUCUGAUUGAUUGGAGUCGCUCGAUUCGACAGACUGCUUUCUGAUCCCAUGCUUUUCCAUUACUUCAAAUUUAUGGCCCCUGGCGCUGGCAACCGAAUGUGACUCUAUGUCCAAGAAAACAGUUUGAGAAGAGAAUGGGGAGAAGAGAAGAUUAAUUAGGAGAGGGAAAUGGCCAUUUGAAUUUGAAUAAAGGACUGCAUAAAUUGGGGAGUUACACAGUGCCAACACAUGAUGAAAAAGAAUCGGUUAUGAUUCUACACAAGGUAAAAGAAGAGAGAAAUUUGGGGGAGAGGUAAUUGGUGGUCGGUCUUAUUAUUACAAAUAAUUUAUUAAUUUUUCCUUAUAUAUAAUUCUUUUUUCUUUAUACGGAAUACUUUCAAGAUGAAAAUAUGAAAAAUUCAAACAUUACUCUUAUUAGGAAUAUGGUUAUUUGUUAA